GACACUCUGGGAAGGCUGCCCAGAGCCACAGCUCCACGGCAGGGAGUGCAGCAGCUCCAGCAGUCCAGCCUCAGCCAAGCUCUCAGUGCUUCCAGACAUGGGAAUCACUGUGGAGUUCAGGCUCCCAGCACUUCCCUGCUUUCAGCUUUACAGCCUUUGGAAGUGGUAGCCCAAAGCCACCAGCUGGAGUUUCGAGCCCCCAGACCCUGGACAGAGAACUCCAAGGCAGAGUUGCCUGGGUUGAGCUGCUCCAGGAACCAGGCAAGAACUCCUCAAAUGGAAUAAUUUCAAUCAAAACAUGUCAGGAUGUGCUAUUUCCAGCUGAACUUUGACCAAUUAAUCUCCAGUUAGCAUGGAACAGUGAUGCAAACCCCAAAGGCUUUACUCUCCACUGCUUACCUUCAUCCAAAGUCUUUUGUAUUUAUGACACACAGGGAGAAGAGCUUAUCCAGACCAGCUUUUGGAUGAUGAGAUAAGUGUCUGACACCAUUAUUUACAGAUAACAGAAAUUCAGCAGCAAUGCCUUUGGCUACUCUGUGUGUCCCGGCUGUUCCCCCACCUCUGUACCACAAGGAGCCUCCUCAGAUCUCCUGGCAACUGUUCACAGAGUUGAGAUGAAGAAAUGUCAAACUUUGGGAAUAAGCUGGAGUUUGUGUUCUGUGUAGAAAGGUAAAUUAUGCACUGAGAGCAAGGCAAAGCAAAGACAAAGUGUGACCUCUGUAUUUGCACAUCUGCUUCAGUUCACACUCCAAGGGAGAUUUGUUAUUAAAAGCUUCAGGUAACUGAUCUGCAUUUUGAAGAAUGUGAAUGAAAAGCAGUGCUGCUCAGGAGCCACAGCAGGACAGUGUGACACUUGCUCUUGGUUCUGCAGUGAAGAUUAAAGUCUUCGGAGAAGAAUCUGUUCUUUUCCGAAUCUCUACUCUGUGAUCCAGUGCCCUGAAGGUCCCUUAUUUACUUCUCACCCCUUUUAACAAAGAGGAUUUCAAUGAAGUUUUUCAUGUUUAUCCAACCCUUUUUCUCCUUGUUGAGCACAUUACUUACUGGGAGAUAUUUUAAUGCAACACUGCAAUUACAUUUCUUUUGCAUUUUACACUUAAAUGAUCACAUGAAUUAAAAAGGAAUGCACAGAGGUCUAAGUGGAUGGGGAUGGUGACCUGGUUUGCAGAGCUUAAGCUGGGUUCUUCUCCAGGCUCUUUUUUCAGCAGUUUAACUGCUCUGAUGACCUUUGUUCCCAACUGUACCUUUGAAAUCCGGUCACUACAGCAGAAAGCCAGACUUCAUCACCCAAAAAGUCAAAAACUGAACCUGAGUGAGUAGUUUUUCCCUACUGCAACAGCUGUUCUGGCCCAAAAUGAUUUGAAAAAUGUAAGAGCCUUUCAAAGUACUGCCAGAUGAAAGUUCUUGAUUAGUAGAUCCCAACCAAUUCAUUAUUUCAUCAUCACCACACAGACCUUUUAGACUGAAGGAGGUACAUAGGGAUGAUUUAAGGCCAUACUUAUCUUUUAUAAUUUCUUUUAAAACAGCCCCACAGACAGAGGUCUGUAUUUAUCCAAAGAAUCUUAAUGUGUUGGCUAAACUUCAGGCAGAGAUUUAGGUUAAUGCAUCUCAUCUAUCCUGUUAAAGUAGCAAUUAUGCAUAUGGAAGAAAAGUGUUUCCAGGGCCCCUGAAGUCCAUGCCAGUAAAGUACCAACUGCAGCUGCAAUUUACAAGAAAAGAAAGGGCUGAAUCUUCUUUUAUUUCCUUGCUACACCCAGCCAAAGAUGGACUCAUCCUACAGAAAAAAAAAGUGAUGAAAGUGAAUUGGUACAUUCCCAUUAAUAUUAAAAAAAAAAAGUCUCUAUAUCAAGUGGGACAAAUGAAGACUGUUCAGAUUCUUCAGAUUGUACUUUAGACCACCAGGGAAGGAUUUAGCUCAAGAAGAAGGCAAAAAACCUCCUUGGCAAAGCUCAGAGCCCUCCCUGUGAGGAUGGAGCUGCUCUGACCCCAAAUCUGAAAUCUUGAAAAUAUUUGAGCUCAAUGGUUUUUUAGCCUCUAAUGGACUGUCUACAUACCAUGUCCAAGUAUGCCCCAUUCUGUGACCUCUGGAUCC
Molecule: long non-coding RNA, 2089 nt
Organism: Vidua macroura (Pin-tailed whydah)
Lineage: Eukaryota; Metazoa; Chordata; Aves; Passeriformes; Viduidae
Exons: 3
Source: RefSeq, a predicted model, not a curated record